CAGCAGCCGCGGUAAUACGAAGGGUGCAAGCGUUACUCGGAAUUACUGGGCGUAAAGCGUGUGUAGGUGGUUGUUUAAGUCUGUCGUGAAAGCCCUGGGCUCAACCUGGGAAUUGCGAUGGAUACUGGGCGACUAGAGUGCGGUAGAGGAUAGUGGAAUUUCCGGUGUAGCAGUGAAAUGCGUAGAGAUCGGAAGGAACAUCUGUGGCGAAGGCGACUAUCUGGGCCAACACUGACACUGAGACACGAAAGCGUGGGGAGCAAACAGGAUUAGAUACCCCUGUAGUCCCUGUCUCUUAUAA
RNAcentral lists this ribosomal RNA (301 nucleotides) under uncultured bacterium. RNAcentral's name for it is "partial 16S ribosomal RNA". It matches the Rfam family "Bacterial small subunit ribosomal RNA", at positions 509 to 809 of the family's 1533-position model. The record is from RNAcentral.